UUGAGUCAUUACAGUAAAACAUGGAUUAUAAGUGAAUUAUACGCGUAAGAGAAGAUUUUCUGUCGAAAAAACUAAUGUCAACAAUCAGCAUGGAACUGGGAUAUUCGUAUCAAAGGGCUAUUCAUGCAGGAAAAUGACUGAAUAUUACUAUUAUAUGAAGAAUUCCAGCCUGCAUUAAAUACUUUGUUGGAUCAUUGAGACAGAUUUGACAUCCAUGUCUAUCCACAAGGCAGUCACAUCUGAUAGAGAUGAUCACUAAACAUUCUAGAUGGGUAAAGAACCUGAAGGGGCAUGAAAACCAAAUCAGC
Molecule: long non-coding RNA, 308 nt
Organism: Mya arenaria
Lineage: Eukaryota; Metazoa; Mollusca; Bivalvia; Myida; Myidae
Exons: 3
Source: RefSeq, a predicted model, not a curated record